ACUUUCGAUGGUAGGAUAGAGGCCUACCAUGGUGGUAACGGGUAACGGGGUGUUAGGGCACGACACCGGAGAGGGAGCCUGAGAAACGGCUACCACAUCCAAGGAUGGCAGCAGGCGCGCAAAUUACCCAAGCCCGACACGGGAGGUAGUGACAAUAAAUAACAAUACGGGGUUCUUUCGGAUCUCGUAAUUGGAAUGAGUACAAUUUAAAUCUCUUAACGAGGAACAAUUGGAGGGCAAGUCUGGUGCCAGCAGCCGCGGUAAUUCCAGCUCCAAUAGCGUAUAUUAAAGUUGUUGCAGUUAAAAAGCUCGUAGUUGAAUUUCGGGAUCAGAGUGUCGGUCGUGCCUCGGUACGCACUGGUAUUAUUGGUUCCUACCUUCUGAAGAACCGCGAUGUCAUUAAUUUGGUGUCGUGGGGAAUCAGGACUGUUACUUUGAAAAAAUUAGAGUGUUUAAAGCAGGCUUACGCUUGAAUACAUUAGCAUGGAAUAAUGAAAUAGGACGUUUGAUUCUAUUUUGUUGGUUUCUAGGAUUGACGUAAUGAUUAAUAGGGAUAGUUGGGGGCAUUAGUAUUCAAUUGUCAGAGGUGAAAUUCUUGGAUUUAUUGAAGACUAACUACUGCGAAAGCAUUUGCCAAGGAUGUUUUCAUUAAUCAAGAACGAAAGUUAGGGGAUCGAAGACGAUCAGAUACCGUCGUAGUCUUAACCAUAAACUAUGCCGACUAGGGAUCGGAUGAUGUUAAUUUUUUAAUGACUCAUUCGGCGCCUUACGGGAAACCAAAGUGUUUGGGUUC
This 793-nucleotide ribosomal RNA is filed under the name Glomus sp. Its description in RNAcentral is "SSU rRNA". It matches the Rfam family "Eukaryotic small subunit ribosomal RNA", at positions 318 to 1114 of the family's 1831-position model. Lineage: Eukaryota; Fungi; Glomeromycota; Glomeromycetes; Glomerales; Glomeraceae. The record is from RNAcentral.